CCUACGGGAGGCAGCAGUAGGGAAUAUUGCACAAUGGGGGAAACCCUGAUGCAGCAACGCCGCGUGGAGGAUGACGGUUUUCGGAUUGUAAACUCCUUUUGUUAGAGAAGAUUAUGACGGUAUCUAACGAAUAAGCACCGGCUAACUCCGUGCCAGCAGCCGCGGUAAUACGGAGGGUGCAAGCGUUACUCGGAAUCACUGGGCGUAAAGAGCGCGUAGGCGGGAUAGCAAGUCAGAUGUGAAAUCCUAUGGCUUAACCAUAGAACUGCAUUUGAAACUGUUAUUCUUGAGUAUGGGAGAGGUAGGUGGAAUUCUUGGUGUAGGGGUAAAAUCCGUAGAGAUCAAGAGGAAUACUCAUUGCGAAGGCGACCUGCUAGAACAUAACUGACGCUGAUGCGCGAAAGCGUGGGGAGCAAACAGGAUUAGAUACCCCUGUAGUC
This 440-nucleotide ribosomal RNA is filed under the name uncultured bacterium. RNAcentral describes it as "partial 16S ribosomal RNA". It matches the Rfam family "Bacterial small subunit ribosomal RNA", at positions 338 to 795 of the family's 1533-position model. The record is from RNAcentral.